AUACUUCCCUGGUAGGGGUUUAUAUAUCAUAACCAUAAAGGUGAUAUCAAGGGGUGAGGCUAGUCCAUUGCACUCUAGGAUGUGCUGACCCUUGUGAUUUAUCCAAAUUUGGGAAAACUCGAUGGCAUAAUUUGUAGUGGGAGACUGCAUUCNN
Molecule: small nuclear RNA, 154 nt
Filed under: Sorex araneus (European shrew)
Lineage: Eukaryota; Metazoa; Chordata; Mammalia; Eulipotyphla; Soricidae
Description: U1 spliceosomal RNA (ENSSARG00000015130.1)
Rfam family: U1 spliceosomal RNA
About the family: U1 is a small nuclear RNA (snRNA) component of the spliceosome (involved in pre-mRNA splicing). Its 5' end forms complementary base pairs with the 5' splice junction, thus defining the 5' donor site of an intron.
Source: RNAcentral